AGGAAGCGAAGGUGUUCUUGACGUCUGGACCACGUGGUUUACUUUAAGAUUUGCAGUAAUAACCCAUCAACUACCGCGGUCCAGUCGUCAAGAACACCUUUGCUUUCA
This 108-nucleotide microRNA precursor is filed under the name Picea abies (Norway spruce). RNAcentral's name for it is "miR951 stem-loop (pab-MIR951)". Its record names the gene pab-MIR951. The record is from miRBase by way of RNAcentral. Lineage: Eukaryota; Viridiplantae; Streptophyta; Pinopsida; Pinales; Pinaceae.